UACGAAGGGGGCUAGCGUUGUUCGGAAUCACUGGGCGUAAAGCGCACGUAGGCGGAUCUUUAAGUCAGGGGUGAAAUCCCGAGGCUCAACCUCGGAACUGCCUUUGAUACUGGGGAUCUCGAGUCCGGGAGAGGUGAGUGGAACUCCGAGUGUAGAGGUGAAAUUCGUAGAUAUUCGGAAGAACACCAGUGGCGAAGGCGACUCGCUGGACAGACAUUGACGCUGAGGUGCGAAAGCGUGGGGAGCAAACAGG
This 253-nucleotide ribosomal RNA is filed under the name uncultured bacterium. Its description in RNAcentral is "partial 16S ribosomal RNA". It matches the Rfam family "Bacterial small subunit ribosomal RNA", at positions 524 to 776 of the family's 1533-position model. The record is from RNAcentral.